Molecule: long non-coding RNA, 207 nt
Filed under: Cucumis sativus (cucumber)
Lineage: Eukaryota; Viridiplantae; Streptophyta; Magnoliopsida; Cucurbitales; Cucurbitaceae
Description: long non-coding RNA (CSAT_LNC001493)
Source: RNAcentral
UCCUACUUCCCAACUUAAUCAACUUACAGUUGAGAUCAGUUAAAUUGGCAGUCCCCAACACUGAAGUUGACCCUAAAUUAGUCCCAGAAAUUAAUGGGAUGGAUCUGAAUGUCUUGUUCAAUGAUGAAAAUAUUUUCCCUAUUAAUAUUCCCCUGGAUUUGCCUAAAGAUUUAGUGUCUAUAGUUGGUGAUUGUGGAAUCAUUCUGG